This 237-nucleotide ribosomal RNA is filed under the name uncultured Actinomycetales bacterium. RNAcentral's name for it is "partial 16S ribosomal RNA". It matches the Rfam family "Bacterial small subunit ribosomal RNA", at positions 96 to 334 of the family's 1533-position model. The record is from RNAcentral. Lineage: Bacteria; Bacillati; Actinomycetota; Actinomycetes; Actinomycetales.
UGGCGAACGGGUGAGUAACACGUGAGUAACCUGCCCUUGACUUUGGGAUAACUUCAGGAAACUGGGGCUAAUACCGGAUAGGAGCUCCUGCUGCAUGGUGGGGGUUGGAAAGCUCCGGCGGUUGUGGAUGGACUCGCGGCCUAUCAGCUUGUUGGUGGGGUAGUGGCCUACCAAGGCGGCGACGGGUAGCCGGCCUGAGAGGGUGGCCGGCCACAUUGGGACUGAGAUACGGCCCAG